RNAcentral lists this ribosomal RNA (253 nucleotides) under uncultured bacterium. RNAcentral's name for it is "partial 16S ribosomal RNA". It matches the Rfam family "Bacterial small subunit ribosomal RNA", at positions 524 to 776 of the family's 1533-position model. The record is from RNAcentral.
UACGUAGGGGGCUAGCGUUGUCCGGAAUCAUUGGGCGUAAAGAGCGUGUAGGCGGCCCGGUAAGUCCGCUGUAAAAGUCAAAGGCUCAACCUUUGAAUGUCAGUGGAUACUGCCGGGCUAGAGUCCGGAAGAGGCGAGUGGAACUCCUGGUGUAGCGGUGGAAUGCGCAGAUAUCAGGAAGAACACCAACGGCGAAGGCAGCUCGCUAGGACGGUACUGACGCUGAGACGCGAAGGCGUGGGGAGCGAACAGG